This 497-nucleotide ribosomal RNA is filed under the name uncultured bacterium. RNAcentral describes it as "partial 16S ribosomal RNA". It matches the Rfam family "Bacterial small subunit ribosomal RNA", at positions 28 to 507 of the family's 1533-position model. The record is from RNAcentral.
GAUGAACGCUGGCGGCGUGCCUAAUACAUGCAAGUCGAGCGAACGGACGAGAAGCUUGCUUCUCUGAUGUUAGCGGCGGACGGGUAAGUAACACGUGGAUAACCUACCUAUAAGACUGGGAUAACUUCGGGAAACCGGAGCUAAUACCGGAUAAUAUUUUGAACCGCAUGGUUCAAAAGUGAAAGACGGUCUUGCUGUCACUUAUAGAUGGAUCCGCGCUGCAUUAGCUAGUUGGUAAGGUAACGGCUUACCAAGGCAACGAUGCAUAGCCGGCCUGAGAGGGUGAUCGGCCACACUGGAACUGAGACACGGUCCAGACUCCUACGGGAGGCAGCAGUAGGGAAUCUUCCGCAAUGGGCGAAAGCCUGACGGAGCAACGCCGCGUGAGUGAUGAAGGUCUUCGGAUCGUAAAACUCUGUUAUUAGGGAAGAACAUAUGUGUAAGUAACUGUGCACAUCUUGACGGUACCUAAUCAGAAAGCCACGGCUAACUACGUG